AUGCAGGAUAAUAGUAUAGUCUGAAAGGGGCUUUUUCACCCAUGACAGAACCCAGAAAGCAAAAGGGAAUACAGGGAACAAGCACCUGAGAACUAUACAACCAUAAACAAGUAAUAUUUGCAUCUCUCUCCCAUCUCAAAGGAAUAUUUCCUACUUAUAUUUUUGUUAUACACAAAUUUAAGAAACACAAAGAAGAAUUGAAGUAUCACCAAG
RNAcentral lists this unclassified non-coding RNA (213 nucleotides) under Hevea brasiliensis (rubber tree). The record is from RNAcentral. Lineage: Eukaryota; Viridiplantae; Streptophyta; Magnoliopsida; Malpighiales; Euphorbiaceae.